GAUGAACGCUAGCGGCGGGCUUAAUACAUGCAAGUCGGACGGGAUUCAGGAGCUUGCUUCUGAUGAGAGUGGCGCACGGGUGCGUAUCACGUAUGUAAACCACCUUUUUCAGGGGGGUAGCCUUUCGAAAGAGAGAUUAUGCCCGCAUAAAAUCACUGCACAGCCUUGUUUAGUGAUCAAAUGUUUAUGGGAUCAAGAUGGGAAUGCCGACCAUUAGCUAGAUGGCGGGGUAACGGCCCACCCUGGCGACGAUGUUUAGGGGAUCUGAGGGGAUGGCCCCCGACACGGUGACUGAGCCAAGGACCAGAGUCCUACGGGAGGGAGCAGUAAGGGAUAUUGAGCAGGGGACGGAAGCCUGAUCCAGCCAUGCCGCAUGCAGCAAGGCGGCGUGACGGGUGGUAAACUGCGGUUAUACGGGAGUAAUCCCAGAUACGGGUAUCUGGCUGAAUGUACUGUGAAAAUAAGGACCGGCUAACUCCGUG
Molecule: ribosomal RNA, 482 nt
Filed under: uncultured bacterium
Lineage: Bacteria
Description: partial 16S ribosomal RNA
Rfam family: Bacterial small subunit ribosomal RNA
Source: RNAcentral